Molecule: ribosomal RNA, 2025 nt
Filed under: Bacillus pumilus
Lineage: Bacteria; Bacillati; Bacillota; Bacilli; Caryophanales; Bacillaceae
Description: bacterial LSU rRNA
Rfam family: Bacterial large subunit ribosomal RNA
Source: RNAcentral
GGGUGACUGCGUACCUUUUGUAUAAUGGGUCAGCGACUUACAUUUUGUAGCGAGGUUAACCGUAUAGGGGAGCCGUAGGGAAACCGAGUCUUAACUGGGCGUCUAGUUGCAAGGUGUAGACCCGAAACCGGGUGAUCUAGCCAUGGGCAGGUUGAAGGUUGAGUAACAUCAACUGGAGGACCGAACCCACUAACGUUGCAAAGUUAGGGGAUGACCUGUGGCUGGGGGUGAAAGGCCAAUCAAACUCGGAGAUAGCUGGUUCUCCCCGAAAGCUAUUUAGGUAGCGCCUCGGACGAAUACUACUGGGGGUAGAGCACUGUUUGGGCUAGGGGUCAUCCCGACUUACCAACCCCAUGCAAACUCCGAAUACCAGUAAGUAAUAUCCGGGAGACACACGGCGGGUGCUAACGUCCGUCGUGAAGAGGGAAACAACCCAGACCGCCGGCUAAGGUCCCAAAGUUCUGGUUAAGUGGGAAACGAUGUGGGAAGGCUCAGACAGCUAGGAUGUUGGCUUAGAAGCAGCCAUCAUUUAAAGAAAGCGUAAUAGCUCACUAGUCGAGUCGGCCUGCGCGGAAGAUGUAACGGGGCUCAAACCAGGCACCGAAGCCGCGGAUUCACGCUAAGCGUGAGUGGUAGGGGAGCGUUCUGUAAGUCUGCGAAGGUGUGUCGAGAGGCAUGCUGGAGAUAUCAGAAGUGCGAAUGCUGACGUAAGUAACGAUAAAGGGGGUGAAAAGCCUCCUCGCCGGAAGACCAAGGGUUCCUGUCCAACGUUAAUCGGGGCAGGGUGAGUCGACCCCUAAGGCGAGGCCGAAAGGCGUAGUCGAUGGGAAGCAGGUUAAUAUUCCUGCACGACUUGUAAUUGCGAUGGGGGGACGGAGAAGGCUAGGUGGGCCAGGCGACGGUUGUCCUGGUGAAAGUGCGUAGGUGGUGUUUCUAGGCAAAUCCGGAGACACAACACUGAGACACGAGACGAACGCACCACGGUGCGGAAGCCAUUGAUGCCCUGCUUCCAGGAAAAGCCUCUAAGCUUCAGAUUACAAGUCAUCGUACCCCAAACCGACACAGGUGGUCGGGUAGAGAAUACCAAGGCGCUUGAGAGAACUCGGGUGAAGGAACUAGGCAAAAUAGUACCGUAACUUCGGGAGAAGGUACGCUCUUGUUGGUGAAGUCCCUUGCGGAUGGAGCUGACGGGAGUCGCAGUGACCAGAUGGCUGGGACUGUUUAUCAAAAACACAGCACUCUGCAAACACGAAAGUGGACGUAUAGGGUGUGACACCUGCCCGGUGCCGGAAGGUUAAUUGAUGGGGUUAGCGCAAGCGAAGCUCUUGAUCGAAGCCCCGGUAAACGGCGGCCGUAACUAUAACGGUCCUAAGGUAGCGAAAUUCCUUGUCGGGUAAGUUCCGACCUGCACGAAUGGUGUAACCAUGGCCAUGCUGUCUCCACCCGAGACUCAGUGAAAUCGAAUUCGCCGUGAAGAUGCGGUGUACCCGCGGCUAGACGGAAAGACCCCGUGAACCUUUACUACAGCUUGGCACUGAACAUUGAACCUACAUGUGUAGGAUAGGUGGGAGGCUUUGAAGGCGUGACGCCAGUUGCGCUGGAGCCGUCCUUGAAAUACCACCCUUGUAUGUUUGAUGUUCUAACGCAGGGCCCUGAAUCGGGCUCGCGGACAGUGCCUGGUGGGUAGUUUGACUGGGGCGGUCUCCUCCCAAAGAGUAACGGAGGAGCACGAAGGUUGGCUAAUCCUGGUCGGACAUCAGGAGGUUAGUGCAAUGGCAUAAGCCAGCUUAACUGCGAGACGGACAGGUCGAGCAGGUACGAAAGUAGGUCAUAGUGAUCCGGUGGUUCUGAAUGGAAGGGCCAUCGCUCAACGGAUAAAAGGUACUCCGGGGAUAACAGGCUGAUACCGCCCAAGAGUUCAUAUCGACGGCGGUGUUUGGCACCUCGAUGUCGGCUCAUCACAUCCUGGGGCUGAAGUCGGUCCCAAGGGUAUGGCUGUUCGCCAUUUAAAGUGGUACGCGAGCU